This 75-nucleotide antisense RNA is filed under the name Streptomyces sp. BK340. RNAcentral describes it as "ASpks TB sRNA". It matches the Rfam family "ASpks TB sRNA". Lineage: Bacteria; Bacillati; Actinomycetota; Actinomycetes; Kitasatosporales; Streptomycetaceae. The record is from RNAcentral.
CUUCACGGAGCCCAGCCACAGCGGACGUCCGGCAUCUCGUCCGUUUCCGUACGUGGCGAGCAGCGCCUGUGCCUC